CCUACGGGAGGCAGCAGUGGGGAAUAUUGGACAAUGGGCGAAAGCCUGAUCCAGCCAUGCCGCGUGUGUGAAGAAGGCCUUCGGGUUGUAAAGCACUUUCAGUGGGGAAGAAAGCCUUGGGGCUAAUACCCUCGAGGAAGGACAUCACCCACAGAAGAAGCACCGGCUAACUCCGUGGCCAGCAGCCGCGGUAAUACGGAGGGUGCGAGCGUUAAUCGGAAUUACUGGGCGUAAAGCGCGCGUAGGCGGUCUGAUAAGCCGGUUGUGAAAGCCCCGGGCUCAACCUGGGAACGGCAUCCGGAACUGUCAGGCUAGAGUGCAGGAGAGGAAGGUAGAAUUCCCGGUGUAGCGGUGAAAUGCGUAGAGAUAGGGAGGAAUACCAGUGGCGAAGGCGGCCUUCUGGACUGACACUGACGCUGAGGUGCGAAAGCGUGGGUAGCAAACAGGAUUAGAUACCCUAGUAGUC
RNAcentral lists this ribosomal RNA (466 nucleotides) under Vreelandella stevensii. RNAcentral describes it as "partial 16S ribosomal RNA". It matches the Rfam family "Bacterial small subunit ribosomal RNA", at positions 338 to 795 of the family's 1533-position model. Lineage: Bacteria; Pseudomonadati; Pseudomonadota; Gammaproteobacteria; Oceanospirillales; Halomonadaceae. The record is from RNAcentral.